AUUGAACGCUGGCGGCAGGCCUAACACAUGCAAGUCGAGCGGAUGAAGGGAGCUUGCUCCUGGAUUCAGCGGCGGACGGGUGAGUAAUGCCUAGGAAUCUGCCUGGUAGUGGGGGAUAACGUCCGGAAACGGGCGCUAAUACCGCAUACGUCCUGAGGGAGAAAGUGGGGGAUCUUCGGACCUCACGCUAUCAGAUGAGCCUAGGUCGGAUUAGCUAGUUGGUGGGGUAAAGGCCUACCAAGGCGACGAUCCGCAACUGGUCUGAGAGGAUGAUCAGUCACACUGGAACUGAGACACGGUCCAGACUCCUACGGGAGGCAGCAGUGGGGAAUAUUGGACCAUGGGCGAAAGCCUGAUCCAGCCAUGCCGCGUGUGUGAAGAAGGUCUUCGGAUUGUAAAGCACUUUAAGUUGGGAGGAAGGGCAGUAAGUUAAUACCUUGCUGUUUUGACGUUACCAACAGAAUAAGCACCGGCUAACUUCGUG
Molecule: ribosomal RNA, 484 nt
Filed under: uncultured bacterium
Lineage: Bacteria
Description: partial 16S ribosomal RNA
Rfam family: Bacterial small subunit ribosomal RNA
Source: RNAcentral